RNAcentral lists this ribosomal RNA (492 nucleotides) under uncultured bacterium. RNAcentral's name for it is "partial 16S ribosomal RNA". It matches the Rfam family "Bacterial small subunit ribosomal RNA", at positions 29 to 507 of the family's 1533-position model. The record is from RNAcentral.
AGUGAACGCUGGCGGUAGGCCUAACACAUGCAAGUCGAACGGCAGCACAGUAAGAGCUUGCUCUUACGGGUGGCGAGUGGCGGACGGGUGAGGAAUACAUCGGAAUCUACUUUUUCGUGGGGGAUAACGUAGGGAAACUUACGCUAAUACCGCAUACGACCUACGGGUGAAAGCAGGGGAUCUUCGGACCUUGCGCGAUUGAAUGAGCCGAUGUCGGAUUAGCUAGUUGGCGGGGUAAAGGCCCACCAAGGCGACGAUCCGUAGCUGGUCUGAGAGGAUGAUCGGCCACACUGGAACUGAAACACGGUCCAGACUCCUACGGGAGGCAGCAGUGGGGAAUAUUGGACAAUGGGCGCAAGCCUGAUCCAGCCAUACCGCGUGGGUGAAGAAGGCCUUCGGGUUGUAAAGCCCUUUUGUUGGGAAAGAAAAGCAGCAGGUUAAUACCCCGCUGUUCUGACGGUACCCAAAGAAUAAGCACCGGCUAACUUCGUG